RNAcentral lists this ribosomal RNA (253 nucleotides) under uncultured bacterium. RNAcentral's name for it is "partial 16S ribosomal RNA". It matches the Rfam family "Bacterial small subunit ribosomal RNA", at positions 524 to 776 of the family's 1533-position model. The record is from RNAcentral.
UACGUAGGGUGCAAGCGUUGUCCGGAAUUAUUGGGCGUAAAGAGCUCGUAGGCGGUUUGUCACGUCUGCUGUGAAAACUCGGGGCUCAACCCCGAGCCUGCAGUGGAUACGGGCUAGCUAGAGUGCGGUAGGGGAGACUGGAAUUCCUGGUGUAGCGGUGAAAUGCGCAGAUAUCAGGAGGAACACCGGUGGCGAAGGCGGGUCUCUGGACCGAUACUGACGCUGAGGAGCGAAAGCGUGGGGAGCGAACAGG